ACCCUCUCCUUUGUUCAGCGGCUCUUGGUCUUAUCUUUUAUGAAUUUCGUAUCUCGUCCUUUAAUUUA
Molecule: small RNA, 68 nt
Filed under: Arabidopsis thaliana (thale cress)
Lineage: Eukaryota; Viridiplantae; Streptophyta; Magnoliopsida; Brassicales; Brassicaceae
Description: ATSL019880
Source: RNAcentral